This 496-nucleotide ribosomal RNA is filed under the name uncultured bacterium. RNAcentral's name for it is "partial 16S ribosomal RNA". It matches the Rfam family "Bacterial small subunit ribosomal RNA", at positions 28 to 507 of the family's 1533-position model. The record is from RNAcentral.
GAUGAACGCUGGCGGCGUGCCUAAUACAUGCAAGUCGAGCGAAAAGCCCUGUUCCUGGUUCUCCUAAGGUUGCGGCCGGCGGGGUAAGAAAUACGUGAACAACCACCUACUAUGAUGGGAAUACAUUCGGAAACCGGGAGUAAUUACCGGUAAUUCUUUUAACCGGCUGGGUGUAUUAAGGAAUGAGGGUUUGGGGUUAACUUUACGUCGAAUCGCGCCGCAUUAGCCAGUUUGGCAGGUAACGGCUUACCCAGGCAACCAUGCGUAGCCGACCUGAGAGGGUGAUCGGCCACACUGGAAGUGAGACACGGUCCAGACUCCUACGGGAGGCAGCGGUAGGGAAGCGUCCGAAAUGGGCGAAAGCCUGACGGAGCAACGCCGCGUGAGUGAUGAAGGUCUUCGGAUCGUAAAACUCUGUUAUUAGGGAAGAACAAAUGUGUAAGUAACUAUGCACGUCUUGACGGUACCUAAUCAGAAAGCCACGGCUAACUACGUG